GUUAAUGUGUGAUAGUGUUUAGGUGGUUGAGGCUGCAAAACGCCUUCAUCUGAAGGAGCACACAGUCCAUGAUGGAUCUGGAAAUGUUUUCAAGUUAGCUGCACCAGUGGAAUGCAAGGGUAUUGUUGGCAGUGAUGACAGGCAUUAUCUCCUUGACUUGAUGAGAGUCACUCCUCGUGAUGCAAACUACACUGGACCUGGGUCUCGAUUUUGUAUCUUGAGACCAGAAUUAAUUACAGCUUUUUGCCAGGCCAAAGCUACAGAGAGAUCCAAAACUAAGUCCACGUCUCAAGGAGAUGCUCAUAUUGCCAGUAAUUCUCCAAAUGUUGAUGGUGAAAUACAG
Molecule: long non-coding RNA, 343 nt
Organism: Ziziphus jujuba (common jujube)
Lineage: Eukaryota; Viridiplantae; Streptophyta; Magnoliopsida; Rosales; Rhamnaceae
Exons: 3
Source: RefSeq, a predicted model, not a curated record